Molecule: long non-coding RNA, 1862 nt
Organism: Cavia porcellus (domestic guinea pig)
Lineage: Eukaryota; Metazoa; Chordata; Mammalia; Rodentia; Caviidae
Source: Ensembl
AGCUAGACUUGGGCCAGGCGCGAGAACCGAAAUCCGCAGAAGUCCGGGCCCGCUGGAAUCAUCCUAGGAGGGGCCAGCAGAGCUGGCAUUCCUGACACUAGCCCCGGGCGGCUGACGGCACCGGUCCUCUGCCGCUGGAGAGCAGUGCCGCGGGCUCACGUGCGCUGAGGCUUCCCGGGCCUGGCUGUACUGGCCUUGCCCUCCGCACCUGCCCCGCUCCAACUAGUGCCCAGCGCUGAGCCGUCCUCUCCUCCAGCCCUGACCAGGACCUCUCGCUUCCCUGCCUGCUCCCCGAUCUAAGCAGGCCUUUGCGGUUUACGGAAGGGAACGUUGUCACCUGCUGCUUGUCUUCUGAUCAGCGUAGGAAUGAAGAGGGCGGCGGGGGUCGCGCGGACCUGGGCUCCGCCAGACCAGUCACUCCGCUCAGACCUGCUCGCACAGCCGCCCUGGGCCUCAGUUUACAAUCUGUGCAGCGGAGAUGACAGUGGUCCUCAUCUCUGGGGUGUCGAGGAGAUGAGACAGCACACCGAGUCGGUGGGAGCCUUACGGACCGCGCACCAGGAGCGCGGAGAGGGGACCUCUCCAACAGUUACCAGGACCAGCACACCGAAGCAGGCAGAGGAGCAGAGCCAGCACGUGCAGGUGGCCGGGAACUGCAUUUAUCAAAAAAACCCUGUGUGGCCUCGUGGAAACCCUUCUGCUAUCCCGAUUUGAGUGAGAAUCAAAGUGAUCACAAGUAAAGGCUCUGGAGCAGGCGAGGUCAGACUGAUGGGGGCCACGAUCGAUCCACAAAGUGCCUGGCGCUGCUGUGCUGGACCAAAGGGCUCCAGUCUCUGAAGGUAGCACCGUCCUGCUGGGCAGGAUGAGAGCAAGAUGAAGCUGGGUUACCUCCUGGGCUGAAGGUUGAGGAGAGGCACCUCAAGCCCCAGGCUUCAAGCUGGACCUGGCCUAGCCCGUUGCCAAUGCCGUAUUAGGGUCCACAGGCAGGUGACAAACACAGCAGCCUCCACUGUCACAGGCUCCCACCCAGCAUCACCUCCCCCUCCACGCUCCAUGUGGGGGAGGCUGCCCAGACUUCAGGAGAAGGGCAGGGUGGGGAGGAGCUCGAGCUGAGGGGCAGCCCUGCACACCCUGGCUGCGGGACUCUCUUUUUCCAGCCAGAUAAUAAAACCUACAGUGGGAAAUACUCAUACGCCAAACCCAUCCCGUUCCUAGGUCUGUAGGCAACAGCUGUCUGUGAGUGUGUGAGAAAAGACCAAUUAAACCACACAGAAGUAUCUUCCAUAGUAGGCAAAAUAUGGGAGCAACGCAAUCUCCAUUAACAGUGGUGGGGACAAAAGGCACUUGUCCGUGCGAGUGCCCUAUCCUCAGUUUCUGAGCACCCUUGUCCAGAAUCAAUUAACCAUGCAUCUCAGACUUUAUUUCCACACUCUCAAUGUCAAAUUUACUACCUGUUCCAUAUUGUCUUAGUCAUACAACUUUCAUUUUGAAAUGAAGAAGGGUGCAUGUGCAAAAUUUGUUCAUUACUUCUCAAAAUUGCUUUUAGUUACUCUGGAUCCUUGUAAUUCCAUUAUGACUUCUGCAAUCAGCUUGUUGAUAUCUGCAAAGAAAUGACUGAGUUAAUCUAUUGAUAACUCUAGGAAAUACAUUUUAACAAUACUUUUACCUAUCGAUAAUAUGGUGUGUCUUUCCUUUUAGUUAAGUCUUUAUUAUUUCAAAAUGUUUUGUAGUUUUCAAAAUCUAAUACUUGUUUCUUUGCUAAAUCUAUUCUUAAGUACUUUAUUCUUUUUGGUGCUAUUACACAUGGAAUUGUUUUCCUGUUUUUUUUUUUUGUUUUCCUAAUUUAAGUUUCUAUUCCAUUA